GGUAGGCGUGGACAAUAGAGCAAGGGGAGUGCAAAUACCAGCUAUACCAGUUUUAGCUUGGGAGGAAGAGUAGGGGGAAUGGCUACUCUGGCUCUGGAGGAUGAAUAACGGGGUUGGCAAUCAGAUGCAAGGGGUGAGAGGUGUCCAAACUGGGUGGGAUUAAGGACUUAGUGGACAAACAGGUUCUGGCUACCAUGGACUCCAUUGUUCCUCUUAGCACAGCUUGUU
Non-coding RNA from Pelobates cultripes (western spadefoot toad), 228 nucleotides. NCBI's taxonomy places the organism in Eukaryota, Metazoa, Chordata, Amphibia, Anura, Pelobatidae. The record is from the annotation of a GenBank genome assembly.